CCUACGGGUGGCAGCAGUGAGGAAUAUUGGUCAAUGGGCGAGAGCCUGAACCAGCCACGUCGCGUGAAGGAUGACUGCCCUAGGGGUUGUAAACUUCUUUUAUAAAGGAAUAAAGUGAUGCACGUGUGCCUUUGUGUAUGUACUUUAUGAAUAAGCAUCGGCUAAAUCCGUGCCAGCAGCCGCGGUAAUACGGAGGAUCCGAGCGUUAUCCGGAUUUAUUGGGUUUAAAGGGAGCGUAGAUGGGGUGUUAAGUCAGUUGUGAAAGUUUGCGGCUCAACCGUAAAAUUGCAAUGGAUACUGGCAGCCUUGAGUACAGGUGAGGUAGGCGGAAUUCGUGGUGUAGCGGUGAAAUGCUUAGAUAUCACGAAGAACUCCGAUGGCGAAGGCAGCCUACUAGACUGCCACUGACAUUGAUGCUCGAAAGUGUGGGUAUCAAACAGGAUUAGAUACCCUUGUAGUC
Molecule: ribosomal RNA, 460 nt
Filed under: uncultured bacterium
Lineage: Bacteria
Description: partial 16S ribosomal RNA
Rfam family: Bacterial small subunit ribosomal RNA
Source: RNAcentral